CAGUCGCCACGGUAAGACAGAGGAUGCAAGCGUUAUCCGGAAUGAUUGGGCGUAAAGCGUCUGUAGGUGGCUUUUCAAGUCCGCCGUCAAAUCCCCGGGCUCAACCGGGGAGGGUCAUUGGAAACUGGGAAACUUGAGUGCAGAAGAGGAGAGUGGAAUUCCACGUGUAGCGGUGAAAUGCGUAGAGAUGUGGAGGAACACCAGUGGCGAAGGCGACUCUCUGGUCUGUAACUGAUGCUGAGGAGCGAAAGCGUGGGGAGCGAACAGGAUUAGAUACCCCUGUAGUCCCUGUCUCUUAACC
Molecule: ribosomal RNA, 301 nt
Filed under: uncultured bacterium
Lineage: Bacteria
Description: partial 16S ribosomal RNA
Rfam family: Bacterial small subunit ribosomal RNA
Source: RNAcentral